RNAcentral lists this ribosomal RNA (173 nucleotides) under Paracobitis longicauda. Its description in RNAcentral is "partial 12S rRNA". Lineage: Eukaryota; Metazoa; Chordata; Actinopteri; Cypriniformes; Nemacheilidae. The record is from RNAcentral.
CACCGCGGUUAUACGAGAGGCCCCAGUCGACAGACACGGCGUAAAGGGUGGUUAAGGAGAGCAGAAUUUUAAAGCCAAAGGGCCUCUUGGCCGUCAUACGCUUCUGAGUGUCCGAAGCCCAAAAACGAAAGUAGCUUUAAUACAACCCGCCUGACCCCACGAGAGCUGAGGCA